This 254-nucleotide ribosomal RNA is filed under the name uncultured bacterium. RNAcentral's name for it is "partial 16S ribosomal RNA". It matches the Rfam family "Bacterial small subunit ribosomal RNA", at positions 524 to 776 of the family's 1533-position model. The record is from RNAcentral.
UACGUAGGGUGCAAGCGUUAAUCGGAAUUACUGGGCGUAAAGCGUGCGCAGGCGGUCUGUUAAGACCGAUGUGAAAUCCCCGGGCUUAACCUGGGAACUGCAUUGGUGACUGGCAGGCUUUGAGUGUGGCAGAGGGAGGUAGAAUUCCACGUGUAGCAGUGAAAUGCGUAGAGAUGUGGAGGAAUACCGAUGGCGAAGGCAGCCUCCUGGGCCAACACUGACGCUCAUGCACGAAAGCGUGGGGAGCAAAUGGG